GAUGAACGCUGGCGGCGUGCCUAAUACAUGCAAGUCGAGCGAACAGAUGAGGAGCUUGCUCCUCUGACGUUAGCGGCGGACGGGUGAGUAACACGUGGAUAACCUACCUAUAAGACUGGGAUAACUUCGGGAAACCGGAGCUAAUACCGGAUAAUAUAUUGAACCGCAUGGUUCAAUAGUGAAAGACGGUUUUGCUGUCACUUAUAGAUGGAUCCGCGCCGCAUUAGCUAGUUGGUAAGGUAACGGCUUACCAAGGCAACGAUGGGUAGCCGACAUGAGAGGAUGAGCGGCCACAUUGGAACGUCGACACGGUGCAGAGUCUAACGGGAGGCGGAAGUGGGGAAUAUUGGAGAAUGGGCGCAAGACUGAACAAGCAGUACAGAGUGCGUAAAGAAGGACUUAGGGUUGUAAAGCCCUUUUGUUGGGAAAAAAAAGAAGCAGGUUAAUACCCAGGUGUUCUGACGGUACCAAAAGAAUAAGCACGGGCUAACUUAGUA
This 497-nucleotide ribosomal RNA is filed under the name uncultured bacterium. RNAcentral describes it as "partial 16S ribosomal RNA". It matches the Rfam family "Bacterial small subunit ribosomal RNA", at positions 28 to 507 of the family's 1533-position model. The record is from RNAcentral.